CACGCCGUAAACGAUGAGUGCUAGAUGUCGCAGGUAUUGACCCCUGCGGUGUCGAAGCUAACGCAUUAAGCACUCCGCCUGGGAAGUACGGUCGCAAGACUAAAACUCAAAGGAAUUGACGGGGGCCCGCACAAGCGGUGGAGCAUGUGGUUUAAUUCGACGCAACGCGCAGAACCUUACCUAGGCUUGAAAAGCAUGGAACCCGGUGGAAACACUGGGGUGCUCGCAAGAGAACCAUGAUUCAGGUGC
RNAcentral lists this ribosomal RNA (249 nucleotides) under uncultured bacterium. RNAcentral's name for it is "partial 16S ribosomal RNA". It matches the Rfam family "Bacterial small subunit ribosomal RNA", at positions 796 to 1041 of the family's 1533-position model. The record is from RNAcentral.